GAUGAACGCUGGCGGCGUGCCUAAUACAUGCAAGUCGAGCGAACAGACGAGGAGCUUGCUCCUCUGACGUUAGCGGCGGACGGGUGAGUAACACGUGGAUAACCUACCUAUAAGACUGGGAUAACUUCGGGAAACCGGAGCUAAUACCGGAUAAUAUAUUGAACCGCAUGGUUCAAUAGUGAAAGACGGUUUUGCUGUCACUUAUAGAUGGAUCCGCGCCGCAUUAGCUAGUUGGUAAGGUAACGGCUUACCAAGGCAACGAUGCGUAGCCGACCUGAGAGGGUGAUCGGACACACUGGAACUGAGACACGGUCCAGACUCCUACGGGAGGCAGCAGUAGGGAAUAUUACGCAAUGGGCGAAAGCAUGACGGAGCAAAGCCGCGUGAGUGAUGAAGGUCUUCGGAUCGUAAAACUCUGUUAUUAGGGAAGAACAAAUGUGUAAGUAACUAUGCACGUCUUGACGGUACCUAAUCAGAAAGCCACGGCUAACUACGUG
This 497-nucleotide ribosomal RNA is filed under the name uncultured bacterium. RNAcentral's name for it is "partial 16S ribosomal RNA". It matches the Rfam family "Bacterial small subunit ribosomal RNA", at positions 28 to 507 of the family's 1533-position model. The record is from RNAcentral.